Molecule: RNase P RNA, 376 nt
Filed under: Prevotella sp.
Lineage: Bacteria; Pseudomonadati; Bacteroidota; Bacteroidia; Bacteroidales; Prevotellaceae
Description: RNase P RNA component class A
Rfam family: Bacterial RNase P class A
About the family: Ribonuclease P (RNase P) is a ubiquitous endoribonuclease, found in archaea, bacteria and eukarya as well as chloroplasts and mitochondria.
Source: RNAcentral
GCAGUGGCUCGGUCUGUCGCUGGCGGUGAAAUCCGCGAGAGGAAAGUCCGGGCAGCAUAGGGCUCUCCACUUCUGAAAAUGGAAGCUGUCGGCGACGGCAGGCUCAGGCAGAAGAGAACGACCGCCCCCACACGCGGGGGUAAGGGUGAGAAGGUGGUGUAAGAGACCACCAGCCAGUGGGUGAUCACUGGGCUGUGCCGGCUGGAGGCUGCAAGUUCGCGUAUACCGUCGUCUGAGGGCUGCCCGCCCGAUGCCAAGGCAACGACGGAGGGUAGAACGCUAGAGCCGCGAGGUGACCCGCGGAGUAGAUAAAUGACAGACACGCCACGCAAAACUGCAUGGCGCACAGAACCCGGCUUACAGAGCCACUGCCUGC